AUGGACCCCCCGUGUUGGGACUGUGGGACCAGAACCGACACAACCAGAACCGGGACCAGAACCGGCACCAAUGGGACCAGAACCGGGACUGGAACCGGCACCAAUGGGACCAGAACCGGGACUGGAACCGGGACUGGAACCGAGACUGGAACCAGCACCAAUGGGACCAGAACCGGGACUGGAACCAGCACCAAUGGGACCAGAACCGGGACUGGAACCGGGACCGGGACCAGCACCAAUGGGACCAGAACCGGCACCGAUGGGACCAGAACCGGGACCAGAACCGGGACUGGAACUGAGACUGGAACCAGCACCAAUGGGACCAGAACCGGGACUGGAACCGGGACCGGAACCAGCACCGGGACCUGGACCAGAACCGGGACCAAAACCGGGACCGGAACCGGGACUGGAACUGGGACCACUGGGACCAGAACUGGAACCGGGACCGGGACCAAAACUGGGACCAGAACCGGCACCAAUGGGACCAGAACCGGGACCGGAACCGGGACUGGAACCAGCACCGGGACCUGGACCAGAACCGGGACCAGAACCGAGACCAGAACCGGGACCAUUGGGACCAGAACCGGGACCAGAACCGGGACUGGAGCCAGCACCAGAACCGAGACCAGAACCGGGACCACCAGUACCAGGACCUGGACCAGAACCGGGACCAGAACCGGGAUCAGAAGCUCCAUCUCUGCCCUGUUGCUGCUGCUGCUGCUGCCCCACAUGGAUGCGCUGCCAUGGGGAGAGGACCCCUCAGCGUCGCUCAGGAUUGACGUCACCCGGUGAGUUGGGCCCCAAAUUAUCCUAAAAUGGCCCCCAAAAUGACCCAAUAUCCCUAAAAUGGCCCCAAAAUGGCCCCCCUGACCCCAUUGUCCUAUUGACCCCCAUUGUUCCCCCCCAGCCCCCCCCCUGGGUCUCCAUUCUGCUCGAUGGGACAACCGGCCUGGCUCACGUUGUGGUGAGUGACACCGCUGGUUGGGGCCUAUGGGGCCCCUAUGGGGUCUGUGGGGUCUUCUAUGGGUCCCUAUGGGUCCCUAUGUGUCUCUAUGGGUGCCCUAUGUGUCCCUCAUGAGUCUCUAUGUCAGUCCUAUGGCGCCUGUCCCUAUGGGUCUCUUAUGGGUCCCUAUGCGUCUCU
This 1141-nucleotide long non-coding RNA is filed under the name Coturnix japonica (Japanese quail). Its description in RNAcentral is "lncRNA (ENSCJPG00005002550.1)". The record is from RNAcentral. Lineage: Eukaryota; Metazoa; Chordata; Aves; Galliformes; Phasianidae.